CUUACCCGGGAAUCGAACCUGCGACCUUUCGGUUACGAGCCCAGUUCCUUACCCACUGUGCCACACUGCCGUCCCCGCUCCGGAGUUGAGUUCUUUAACGGGGCGUCCCAUACCUGCUAUCUCUCUCUCAAGCUGGGACCGCUGGACUUCCGCAUCCACCGGAUCGAGUUAAGGAAUAUUUUAGAAUCCACCAUUAGCCCAGACCUGCUCUGGGUUUUUCCUGCAUGGAGAAAUCCUUGGCGUGCACCAGUGCCAAAAUUUGCGAGCACCACAGCAGGGGUGGGGGGGAAGGAAAAGGGGAAAGGGGGAAAUAGGUGAAUGAAUAAUGCAGGAUGACCCCUACGUGAGACCUUACCGUCCAGGACGUGUCCCCACUUGUCACAACCCCGAAAAUCCCCGUUACUGUAAAUGAGUUGAAUGAAAAGUGCGAGAGUUCGAUGGAUGUUGUGUCAGAAGGUCUGUACUCAGGGGUGUGUUGGGUAAACCCUGUGAUGUGUCAGAAGGUCUGUACUCAGGUGUGUUGGGUAAACCCUGUGAUGUGUCAGAAGGUCUGUACUCAGGUGCGUUGGGUAAACCCUGUGAUGUGUCAGAAGGUCUGUACUCAGGUGUGUUGGGUAAACCCUGUGAUGUGUCAGAAGGUCUGUACUCAGGUGCGUUGGGUAAGUCCUGUGAUGUGUCAGGAGGUCUGUACUCAGGUGCGUUGGGUAAGUCCUGUGAUGUGUCAGAAGGUCUAUACUCAGGGGUGCGUUGGGUAAACCCUUUGAUGUGUCAGAAGGUCUGUACUCAGGGGUGUGUUGGGUAAACCCUUUGAUGUGUCAGAUGGUCUGUACUCAGGGGUGUGUUUGGUAAACCCUUUGAUGUGUCAGAAGGUCUGUACUCAGGGGUGCGUUGGGUAAACCCUGUGAUGUGUCAGAAGGUCUGUACUCGGGUGCGUUGGGUAAACCCUGUGAUGUGUCAGGAGGUCUGUACUCAGGUGCGUUGGGUAAACCCUGUGAUGUGUCAGAAGGUCUGUACUCAGGUGUGUUGGGUAAACCCUGUGAUGUGUCAGAAGGUCUGUACUCAGGUGCGUUGGGUAAGUCCUGUGAUGUGUCAGGAGGUCUGUACUCAGGUGCGUUGGGUAAGUCCUGUGAUGUGUCAGAAGGUCUAUACUCAGGGGUGCGUUGGGUAAACCCUUUGAUGUGUCAGAAGGUCUGUACUCAGGGGUGUGUUGGGUAAACCCUUUGAUGUGUCAGAUGGUCUGUACUCAGGGGUGUGUUUGGUAAACCCUUUGAUGUGUCAGAAGGUCUGUACUCAGGGGUGCGUUGGGUAAACCCUGUGAUGUGUCAGAAGGUCUGUACUCGGGUGCGUUGGGUAAACCCUGUGAUGUGUCAGGAGGUCUGUACUCAGGGGUGCGUUGGGUAAACCCUGUGAUGUGUCAGAAGGUCUGUACUCAGGGGUGCGUUGGGUGAGUCCUGUGAUGUGUCAGAAGGUCUGUACUCAGGGGUGUGUUGGGUAAACCCUGUGAUGUGUCAGAAGGUCUGUACUCGGGUGCGUUGGGUGAGCUGUCAGUGAAGUUGCUUGUGUACAGUGCGGCUCGUUCAGGCUUGGCGAUGGUGUUUUAUGAGGAGUACGCUCCGCAGUUUGCAAGCGUUCUGUCAGUUUGGCUCUUCCUGAAAGGCCUUGGCGCUCUCCCCUAUAAACAAAUGCUCGUACUCAUUUCUGGACACGGUUCUGAUUUCCCAUUCCAGCCGGAAAUGUUUAUCUUAGUCGGCAGCUUUCUUGAUCUAAGUUUGAAUUGUAGUUUCAAAUGCGCCAAUGUGAGCUUUGCUUCAGGAAUACGUGUUUAAAGUCACUUCACAACACUUCAGAGCUCUGAGUGUCAGUUUGAGCCUUUUCUGUUCUCUCAUGACUGUUGAUGCCGUGUGAGGUUUGAAUAUUGGCAGAACAGUAAAGUUGGAUUGAAUACCAGUGUUGUGAGGUUUGAAUAUUGGCAGAACAGUAAAGUUGGAUUGAAUACCAGUAUUGUGAGGUUUGAAUGUUGGCAGAACAGUAAAGUUGGAUUGAAUACCAGUGUUGUGAGGUUUGAAUAUUGGCAGAACAGUAAAGUUGGAUUGAAUACCAGUGUUGUGAGGUUUGAAUAUUGGCAGAACAGUAAAGUUGGAUUGAAUACCAGUGUUGUGAGGUUUGAAUAUUGGCAGAAC
This is a long non-coding RNA of Anguilla anguilla (European eel), 2180 nucleotides long. RefSeq lists it as uncharacterized. NCBI's taxonomy places the organism in Eukaryota, Metazoa, Chordata, Actinopteri, Anguilliformes, Anguillidae. The transcript is spliced from 2 exons. The record is from RefSeq and is a predicted model, not a curated record.